Molecule: signal recognition particle RNA, 299 nt
Filed under: Cebus imitator (Panamanian white-faced capuchin)
Lineage: Eukaryota; Metazoa; Chordata; Mammalia; Primates; Cebidae
Description: Metazoan signal recognition particle RNA (ENSCCAG00000001918.1)
Rfam family: Metazoan signal recognition particle RNA
About the family: The signal recognition particle (SRP) is a universally conserved ribonucleoprotein. It is involved in the co-translational targeting of proteins to membranes.
Source: RNAcentral
GCUGGGCACAGUGGUGCGUGACUGCAGUCCCAGCUACUUGGGAGGCUGAAGUGGGAGGAUCGCUUGAGCCCAGGAGUUCUGGGCUGUAGUGCGCUAUGCCAAUCGGGUGUCUGCACUAAGUUUGGCAUCAAUAUGCUGACCUCCUGGGAGCGGGGGACUCCCAGGUUGCCUAAGGAGGGGUGAACCGGCCCAGGUUCAAAACGGAGCAGGGCAAAACUCCCGUGCUGAUCAGUAGUGGGAUCGCGCCUGUGAAUAGCCACUGCACUCCAGCCUGGGCAACAUAGAGAGACCCCCUCUCU